AUGAGAGGGAGAGAGAGCGAGAGCACAGCCCCUCCACUAUGGCUUACAACAGUGACGAGGAGCGGUACCGCGGUUACCGGGAGUACCAGGCGGAGCGUGGCUACAGCGGCGGUGGUGACCGCGGAGGAGGUGACCGUGGAGGGGGGGAGCGUGGCGGUGACCGUGGGAGUGGUGGUGAGCGUGGUGGUGGAGGCGGGGAGCGUCACAGAGACAGGUCGAGCCGUGAGAAGGAGGAGAGACACAGAGAGAGAAGACACAGAGAGAAGGAGGAGGGGAGACACAAGUCAUCACGCAGUAGCAGCAGGAGGAGACAUGAUAGUGAAGAAGGAGACGGUCACAGGAGACACAAACACAAGAAGAGCAAGAGGAGCAAGGAGGGCAAGGAACCUAGUGAUGACAUGGGAGGAGACCAGGAGAACCAGGACACCAUGGAGUGAUGAAGAGAACACCCUCCUCUCCCUCUGUAUCUCUCUCUCUCUCUCUCUGUCUACAUGGGAGGAGACCAGGAGAACCAGGACACCAUGGAGUGAUGAAGAGAACACCCUCCUCUCCCUCUGUAUCUCUCUCUCUCUCUCUCUGUCUACAUGGGAGGAGACCAGGAGAACCAGGACACCAUGGAGUGAUGAAGAAAACACCCUCCUCUCCCUCUCCUCAUCUCUCUCCCUCUGUUUCCCUCUAUACGUCCCUCCAUCUUUCUCUCUCUCCUCUCUCCCUCAGAGCACUGUUGUAGUUGAUCAUGCUCAGAGGUCGUUGUUGUUUACCCGUUCCCUUCGUAGUCAUGACGAUCAUAAACAACCCUCAUCUUCUGUCAUUUAUUUUCGUCCCUCUAUUUUCUUAACCAAACACCUCGCUGAAAGAUGUCAAUUUGUUGAAUUAAAAAACAAGCUUUUGAUAACUUCUGUGUGUUGGGUGGUUUCUGUGUGUGUGUGUGUGUGUGUGGCUGGUUGGUGUGUGUGUGUGUGUGUGUGUGUGUGUGUGGCUGGUUGGUGUGUGUGUUGGGUGGUUUCUGUGUAUGGCUGGUUGGUGUGUGUGUGUGUGUGUGUGUGUGUGUGUGGCUGGUUGGUGUGUGUGUUGGGUGGUUUCUGUGUGUGGCUGGUUGGUGUGUGUGUGGCUGGUUGGUGUGUGUGUUGGGUGGUUUCUGUGUGUGGCUGGUUGGUGUGUGUGUGUGGCUGGUUGGUGUGUGUGUGUGUGUGUGGCUGGUUGGUGUGUGUGUUGGGUGGUUUCUGUGUAUGGCUGGUUGGUGUGUGUGUGUGUGUGUGUGUUGGGUGGUUUCUGUGUAUGGCUGGUUGGUGUGUGUGUGUGGCUGGUUGGUGUGUGUGUUGGGUGGUUUCUGUGUAUGGCUGGUUGGUGUGUGUGUGUGGCUGGAGGUGUGUUACUCUACAGUCUACUAUCAGGGUAGUGACCAUGCUGGAGGUGUGUUACUCUACAGUCUACUAUCAGGGUAGUGACCAUGCUGGAGGUGUGUUACUCUACAGUCUACUAUCAGGGUAGUGACCAUGCUGGAGGUAUGUUACUGUACUCUACAGUCUACUAUCAGGGUAGUGACCAUGCUGGAGGUGUGUUACUCUACAGUCUACUAUCAGGGUAGUCACCAUGCUGGAGGUGUGUUACUCUACAGUCUACUAUCAGGGUAGUGACCAUGCUGGAGGUGUGUUAC
This 1657-nucleotide long non-coding RNA is filed under the name Oncorhynchus mykiss (rainbow trout). Its description in RNAcentral is "lncRNA (ENSOMYG00000069087.1)". Lineage: Eukaryota; Metazoa; Chordata; Actinopteri; Salmoniformes; Salmonidae. The record is from RNAcentral.